GCUCCAGUGGCGCAAUUGGUUAGCGCACGGUACUUAUAAGACAGUGUACGUGUGAGUAAUGCCGGGGUUGUGAGUUCGAGCCUCACCUGGAGAA
This 94-nucleotide transfer RNA is filed under the name Papilio machaon (common yellow swallowtail). It matches the Rfam family "tRNA". Rfam says of the family: Transfer RNA (tRNA) molecules are approximately 80 nucleotides in length. Lineage: Eukaryota; Metazoa; Arthropoda; Insecta; Lepidoptera; Papilionidae. The record is from Rfam by way of RNAcentral.